CACAUCUUAGCCUUUGGCUCCUAGCAUGGGGUUCUCCCGAGAGUUUUUAGAUUUGACUCCAUAGAACUGCUUAGACUGUGAACUCUAUGAAGUUAGGAAUCAUGUCCAUCGAGUUCAGCCCUACAGCCCCAGCAUCUACAGUUCAUGGCCCAUAACAGUGAAGGGAGAAAUAAGAACAAUGAGAAUCGGAUGAGUUAGGUCCAGUUACAGAGCACUAAAGGCCUAGAAGUGUCCAGAAAAAUAGUCAUGCCUGAAUGACAGGGGAAGAUUUCCUGGAGGAUCUGCAAGAAUGGACAGCCCGAGGGGAAAAAAAGGCCAAACCCCAGCCGCCCUGGGACUCGCCUGAGCAUUUACAUCUCUCCCUGUAGGACUCACAGGAACAGCAGCCAUCAUCACAUACAGGGGGAAACCUUUUCUCGGCUGGGCAUCAAGAGUAGCCAUACACGAAAAAUCUUCCGGGGGCACCUGGGUGGCUCAGCGGUUUAGCGCCUGUCUUCAGCCCAGGGUGUGAUCCUGGAGACCCGGGAUCGAAUCCCACGUCAGGCUCCCGGUGCAUGGAGCCUGCUUCUC
Molecule: long non-coding RNA, 570 nt
Organism: Canis lupus familiaris (dog)
Lineage: Eukaryota; Metazoa; Chordata; Mammalia; Carnivora; Canidae
Exons: 3
Source: RefSeq, a predicted model, not a curated record